This is a small nuclear RNA of Oryctolagus cuniculus (rabbit), 159 nucleotides long. Its record names the gene U2. It matches the Rfam family "U2 spliceosomal RNA". Rfam says of the family: U2 is a small nuclear RNA (snRNA) component of the spliceosome (involved in pre-mRNA splicing). Complementary binding between U2 snRNA (in an area lying towards the 5' end but 3' to hairpin I) and the branchpoint sequence (BPS) of the intron results the bulging out of an unpaired adenosine, on the BPS, which initiates a nucleophilic attack at the intronic 5' splice site, thus starting the first of two transesterification reactions that mediate splicing. The record is from Ensembl. NCBI's taxonomy places the organism in Eukaryota, Metazoa, Chordata, Mammalia, Lagomorpha, Leporidae.
CUCGCUUCUUGGCCUUUUGGUUAAGAUCAAGUGUAGUAUCUGUUCUUGCCAGUUUAAAGCAAUGCAUAUCCUGUUCAUACUGCUUUGAAGUUUGUUCUUUUGUUCACUUAAAGGGGAAAUUUUCCCAAGUCAAAAAACUUACAACGUAUUUUAACUCCU